Long non-coding RNA from Herpailurus yagouaroundi (jaguarundi), 1936 nucleotides. RefSeq lists it as uncharacterized. The transcript has 2 exons. The record is from RefSeq and is a predicted model, not a curated record. NCBI's taxonomy places the organism in Eukaryota, Metazoa, Chordata, Mammalia, Carnivora, Felidae.
AGGAAACACCACCAACUGAGCCACCCAGGCGCGCCUGUGGUUCAAGAGUUCUACACCUGUUUUCUCAUUUGCUCCCCAUCUUCUCAUUCAGCCCUGUGAAGUGGGCAGCACUGAUUUAUUCUCUGGGGUUGGCAGCCUCCUCUUAAGAAGGAUCAGAAAAACUCAAGACGAUAGGAAAGUAAGCCGGCAUGGAAACUAUUGCCCAGCUGACCGCUUUAUCCCGAGCUUCCUGGGCUUCAAAGAAGCGGCUCAACAAUUUUGAGAAGAAAUAUAAUGGUAACGGCAGCGGCUGCGGGAGCCUAACAGACGGAGGUAAGGCAUCCGAAAUACUGAACAGGCCUCUUGGGGCAGACUCCCACCCGGAGCUGCGUAAAGUCUGCUUAAUUAAAUGUGCCUUCUAUUAUGGUCUUUGGUGAUUCACUGAGGAGGAAGAAGAGGCAGUGACCUUGUAUCGAAUCACGGCAAAGGCAAAGACUGCAUGUUAAUUCUCGUGUUGGUAGGAAGGUGUUAAUAACGUCUCCAAGUUGGACGGCUCCUGCCGGAGGACUGACUUCUCUAGGCCUUAAAGACAGCGCCCGGCGCCCCGGCUUUAGCUGUUGGGUGCUGACUAAGCACCUUUCGAGCUGCCUUCAGUUGAAAGACAGAGGAGGCGGAGGAAAUCCUCACUGGGCCAAAUCUAUCCCCUAUGAGAGGGCAGGCUUAAUGAGAAUCGGCCCUGAGCCCUGGCUCGGCAGUGCUUCUGGAAUGCACGUGAUUUACAGCCAGCAGGGGCUGCAGAGUUUUCUGCCUUAGUCUCUCUUUCUCAUGUUUGAAAAACUUGCACGGCCAAAAUUUUAAUUUCAGCUAAUGAAGGCAAAGAGGAAAAAAAAAGAACACGGUAGCUUUACAGCACGCACACAAGGCCUGGAGGAGAUAGGAAGACGAACGCACGUUAGAGCUAACGACUGUGGGGAGCUUCCAGAAUAAGUGGAGAAUAAGUGGACACGUAUACAAACAGGGCAACAUAGCUGACAAACAGAAGCGUGAGCCAGGUUCUGUGGAAGCCUAAAUAUCAUGCAUUUUCCAUUUUCCUUCGGGAGCCUUUCUUCGUCGUGACGGAAUGGUCCUAUGUUAUGAAACCAUCUUUGACAUGGCACGUGACGUCCAACCAACAGGACUGAGUUGUAACGAUUUACUUUCUACAGGUGAGGCUCCUUGGUGGGCAUGGUGUUUUCCCCAAGCCCAAAGGUAAUAUAUUAAUAAGGUCUUGAAAAGUUCAACCAGUAUAGACAGGGCUGAAGUCGUACUUGACUCCUUUUUUUUUUUCCACCUCAUCAUCUCUCAAUUUGAAUCCCUGGAAGGUAGUGAUCAACAUUUCGGUUUGGUGAACAUACUUCCAGAUCUUUUUUGCUUGCAUUUAUACACACAGACACAUAAUCACGCGUACACACAAACAUUCAGAGAUACAAACACACACACACAUGCACACAUUGAGAGAAAACUAUGAAGUUUAAAAAAUAAAUGUGACAAUUCUAUAUACAGAAUUCACUUUCAACUUGCUUUCUAACUUGGGAUAUGUCAGUACAUAGGGACAUCAUUUUUAACGGCUUCGUACUGUUCCACAAUGUUGAUGUGCCUUAAUCAAUAACUUCCUAUGAGUUUAUAAUUUUGUUACCCACAGAUGAUCCCCCCCUUUUUUUUUUACCAUCUCCAAUAUCACAAAGGAUGUCAUUUUACCUGUCCCUAGUAUUACAAAAGCAAGUAUAUAUCUAGGGUAGAUGUGGACACGUAGAUUAGCUGAAUUAAAAAGUCUGAGAUUUUAAAAUUUUUAAAUAGAGGAACAUGGCCAAAAAACUAUUCUACCAGCAACAGUUUGGCCCAUAUUUGUCCCAAUAUGACAUUGUUAAUCUUUUCAACCCUUUGAUAAUCUGACGGAUUAAAAGCAAAUAGAAUUUCA